Molecule: ribosomal RNA, 474 nt
Filed under: uncultured bacterium
Lineage: Bacteria
Description: bacterial SSU rRNA
Rfam family: Bacterial small subunit ribosomal RNA
Source: RNAcentral
AAUCAACGCUGGCGGCGUGCCUAACACAUGCAAGUCGAGCGAGAAAGGGGUAGCAAUACCCUGAGUAAAGCGGCGCACGGGUGAGUAACACGUGGGUAAUCUGCCCUAGAGUGGGGAAUAACACCGGGAAACCGGUGCUAAUACCGCAUACGAUCACGAUGUCUUCGGAUGUUGUGAUGAAAGGAGCAAUUCGCUCUUGGAGGAGCCCGCGGCUGAUUAGCUAGUUGGUAAGGUAAUGGCUUACCAAGGCUACGAUCAGUAUCCGGUCUGAGAGGACGGUCGGACACACUGGAACUGAGACACGGUCCAGACUCCUACGGGAGGCAGCAGGUGGGAAUUUUUCGCAAUGGGGGCGAACCCUGACGAAGCAACGCCGCGUGGAUGAUGAAGUAUUCGGUACGUAAAAUCCUUUCGACAGGGAAGAAACCCGCAAGGGUUGACGGUACCUGUAGAAGAAGCCCCGGCUAACUCCGU